AGAUUGAACGCUGGCGGCAUGCUUUACACAUGCAAGUCGAACGGUAACAGGCCGCAAGGUGCUGACGAGUGGCGAACGGGUGAGUAAUGCAUCGGAACGUGCCCAGUCGUGGGGGAUAACGCAGCGAAAGCUGUGCUAAUACCGCAUACGAUCUAUGGAUGAAAGCGGGGGACCGAAAGGCCUCGCGCGAUUGGAGCGGCCGAUGUCAGAUUAGCUAGUUGGUGGGGUAAAGGCCCACCAAGGCGACGAUCUGUAGCUGGUCUGAGAGGACGACCAGCCACACUGGAACUGAGACACGGUCCAGACUCCUACGGGAGGCAGCAGUGGGGAAUUUUGGACAAUGGGCGCAAGCCUGAUCCAGCAAUGCCGCGUGCAGGAAGAAGGCCUUGGUGUAAACUGCUUUUGUACGGAACGAAACGGUACGUGGUUAAUACCGUCGGCGUAAUGACGGUACGUAAGAAUAAGUACACCGGCUAACUACGU
Molecule: ribosomal RNA, 483 nt
Filed under: uncultured soil bacterium
Lineage: Bacteria
Description: bacterial SSU rRNA
Rfam family: Bacterial small subunit ribosomal RNA
Source: RNAcentral